RNAcentral lists this ribosomal RNA (585 nucleotides) under uncultured bacterium. RNAcentral's name for it is "partial 16S ribosomal RNA". It matches the Rfam family "Bacterial small subunit ribosomal RNA", at positions 356 to 1376 of the family's 1533-position model. The record is from RNAcentral.
UGGGAAUUUUGGACGAAUUGGGCGCAAGCCUGAUCCAGCCAUGCCGCGUGCGGGAAGAAGGCCUUCGGGUUGUAAACCGCUUUUGUCAGGGAAGAAAUCUUCUGAGUUAAUACCUCGGGAGGAUGACGGUACCUGAAGAAUAAGCACCGGCUAACUACGUGCCAGCAGCCGCGGUAAUACGUAGGGUGCAAGCGUUAAUCGGAAUUACUGGGCGUAAAGCGUGCGCAGGCGGUUUUGUAAGACAGAGGUGAAAUCCCCGGCUCAACCUGGGAACUGCCUUUGUGACUGCAAGGCUUGAGUGCGGCAGAGGGGAUGGAAUUCCGCGUGUAGCAGUGAAAUGCGUAGAUAUGCGGAGGAACACCGAUGGCGAAGGCAAUCCCCUGGGCCUGCACUGACGCUCAUGCACGAAAGCGUGGGGAGCAAACAGGAUUAGAUACCCUGGUAGUCCACGCCCUAAACGAUGUCAACUGGUUGUUGGGAAGGUUCCUUCUCAGUAACGUAGCUAACGCGUGAAGUUGACCGCCUGGGGAGUACGGCCGCAAGGUUGAAACUCAAAUGAAUUGACGGGGUCAUAGCUGUUUCCUG